This 529-nucleotide long non-coding RNA is filed under the name Cyanistes caeruleus (blue tit). RNAcentral describes it as "lncRNA (ENSCCEG00000000541.1)". Lineage: Eukaryota; Metazoa; Chordata; Aves; Passeriformes; Paridae. The record is from RNAcentral.
GAUUGGGGGGGAUUUUGGGGUGUUUUGGGGUCACCUGUGCGACAUGAGCCCCCAAAACAACGUGGUACCCCAAAAUUUGGGGGGGAUUUUGGGGGGUUUCAGGGGUCACCUGUGCGACGUGAGCCCCCAAAAUAACGUGGUACCCCAAAACUGGGGGGAUUUCGGGAGGAUUUUGGGGAUUUUGGGGUGUCCUUGGGGUCACCUGUGCGACAUGAGCCCCCAAAACAACGUGGGGCAGCGUCCCUGUGACCUGGCGGACGAGGAGACCCUGCCCCUGCUGGAGGAGCUGCAGCGGCGCCAGCACCACGUGAGACCCCCGAAACCUCCCCAAAAUCUGCGGAAUCCCACCCAAAAAACAACGGCCAAAAUCUGCGGAAUCCCACCCAAAAAACAACCCAUGAAAACCUCCCAAAAAUCCUCCCAAAAAUCCACAAAAUCCCACCCAAAAAUGCACAAAACCCCCCCCAAAACCCCCAAAAUCCAACCCAAAAUCCCCAAAAUUCACCCAAAAAAGCCCAAAUUCCCCCCA